CUUUAAGGUAUUAUUGUAAUAAGUAGUGGGUAAAAAGGGGCCUUUAGGCCCCUUAUGUGUGUAGA
Molecule: transfer RNA, 65 nt
Filed under: Goniurosaurus luii
Lineage: Eukaryota; Metazoa; Chordata; Lepidosauria; Squamata; Eublepharidae
Description: tRNA-Pro
Source: RNAcentral